RNAcentral lists this ribosomal RNA (234 nucleotides) under uncultured bacterium. RNAcentral's name for it is "partial 16S ribosomal RNA". It matches the Rfam family "Bacterial small subunit ribosomal RNA", at positions 524 to 757 of the family's 1533-position model. The record is from RNAcentral.
UACGUAGGGUGCAAGCGUUAAUCGGAAUACUGGGCGUAAAGCGUGCGCAGGCGGUGAUGUAAGACCGAUGUGAAAUCCCCGGGCUUAACCUGGGAACUGCAUUGGUGACUGCAUUGCUAGAGUAUGGCAGAGGGGGGGUGGAAUUCCACGUGUAGCAGUGAAAUGCGUAGAGAUGUGGAGGAACACCGAUGGCGAAGGCAGCCCCCUGGGCCAAUACUGACGCUCAUGCACGAA